AGUGAACGCUGGCGGUAGGCCUAACACAUGCAAGUCGAACGGCAGCACAGUAAGAGCUUGCUCUUACGGGUGGCGAGUGGCGGACGGGUGAGGAAUACAUCGGAAUCUACUUUUUCGUGGGGGAUAACGUAGGGAAACUUACGCUAAUACCGCAUACGACCUACGGGUGAAAGCAGGGGAUCUUCGGACCUUGCGCGAUUGAAUGAGACGAUGUCGGAUUAGCUAGUUGGCGGGGUAAGGGCCCACCAAGGCGACGAUCCGUAGCUGGGCUGAGAGGAUGAUCGGCCACACUGGAACUGAGACACGGUCCAGACUCCUACGGGAGGCAGCAGUGGGGAAUAUUGGACAAUGGGCGCAAGCCUGAUCCAGCCAUACCGCGUGAGUGAAGAAGGCCUUCGGGUUGUAAAGCCCUUUUGUUGGGAAAGAAAAGCAGCAGGUUAAUACCCCGCUGUUCUGACGGUACCCAAAGAAUAAGCACCGGCUAACUUCGUG
This 492-nucleotide ribosomal RNA is filed under the name uncultured bacterium. Its description in RNAcentral is "partial 16S ribosomal RNA". It matches the Rfam family "Bacterial small subunit ribosomal RNA", at positions 29 to 507 of the family's 1533-position model. The record is from RNAcentral.